This is a non-coding RNA of Cyanistes caeruleus (blue tit), 12078 nucleotides long. The record is from RefSeq and is a predicted model, not a curated record. NCBI's taxonomy places the organism in Eukaryota, Metazoa, Chordata, Aves, Passeriformes, Paridae.
CUCCCGGCUUGCUGUGGAACACCUGCGCCCGCUGGGGGGGCCCGGCCGGUUCCUGUGCGCCCUCCAGCCCCAAGUGCCACCGCUCCGAGACACCCCGGCACGGCGGGGUUUGCUGCUUUUGAAACAAGUGCUCUUGCCGCUUAAUUUCGGUGAUGUUGUUUCGGUGAUCUAGGUCGGGCUGCCACGUACGAGACUGCGACUUUUCCCCCUCUGGAGACUCUGCAGCGUCAGGAGUGCUGCCUUUGUUGCUCCAUUCAACAGGCCGGCAAAGCCACGGUCCCCCAUUUCUGUGCUCGUCUGCAGCGUCUGCCGAGGGACAUCCGGAACGAAACAGGCCUGGAGAUGAAGUGUCUGUGCCUGUACACACAGAAUCGGUCUCUGCACCAGGACCCCGGCACAGCCAAGGGAGGGAAGGCACUGCUGGCUGCACCUCCCCUGCGACUGAGCAGAGAUUUGAAACAGCCAAAGCUGUCGAGCGGCAACAAAAGUCUCACUGUGUGUGCUAGAAAGCUUUCUGUACUAAAUGCACACCGAACCAGCCUACUUGUCAUGUUCCUUCUAAUGCAGCAUUAGCAUUAGUGUCAAAGCUUGUUAAUGCGAUACAGAAAUUAUGCAGUGAAUAUAUACUUCCCAAGCUCAGUUUGGGUGUGUUGCUAUACUGAAAACGUGGGAGGGAACAGCGGCUGUCAGUUCUCCUGCUGCUGCUGUUGAACACAAUCCCUGCAGGGCCUGGGCUGGCCUACCUUCCUAGGAGAACUCCGGGGAGAGAGACACAAUGUUGAAAGGGAUGAAAUAUUGGCUCUGCAGUUAUUAUUUCUAUGUAUCUAUUUCCGAUACAUUUGUGCGGUAAUUACUCUGGGUUGUAUUUUGUUAGUUCAGGCAGUAAGUUAAGUGUAUCACCUUCGGGGAAAAAACCAAACUAAAAAAAACCCCUCCAAUAGGUGAGUCUGACCAGGUUUAUUCUAGAGCACCAUCUUUCAUUAUUAUAAAUUCCACUGAAAUAAUUACAGUCAUCUUCUACCCAACCCUCAUCCCCCAAGCCCAAGAACUUUGUUGGUUUUUUUUUUUUUUUAAAGCAAGUAUCUCUACCUCCACACAUCACUUUUCAGGUCAAAAAUAAAAUAAAAAAGAUAGGUUCCAGGUUAACAACAGCAAAACCUGAUGUUUAGAACAACAGCUGUUGUUCCAGUACCUGCCAGAAGUACCCCCAAUCUCUCCUGUCAUGUGGUUUGACUUGUUCUCCCUCUCAGGCAGUCUCACACUGCUGAGCUGCACAUGGCCCCUGUGCUGAGAAGCUCUGAGCAGGUACCUGAAGGUAAGCUCCAGAUAAAUACCAGACUUAGAUUACCCCAGUUUACUGUCAUUUGCCUUGAAGGGCUCUUAAACGUUUCAGUAAGUAUAAAAUUGCAACACUCUAACUGCUUACUCAUUAAGCAUCAGAAUAAACAGCUGCUUGUUUUAAUGGCUUUCUUCAGGCAGUUGCUACAGUUAUUUUGCCACAUGCUGUGGUCUGUGCUUAAAUAUUAUCAGAGGCUGGUUCUGCCAAAUACAGUCUGUUGCUGCCUGCAAGAUAAAAGCAUCUUUGAAAGCACUACCAGCCCUACAGCAGCUGUGUGGCAAUUAAAGAAAUGUGACAUAACUUUGGAGCCACGGAACUGGUGAAGCUUCCUCCAAUCACAAUUUUCUAGCUGAGUUUUGCCAGCAAACUGCUUAGACCUUGGAUUCCUCCCCAGAGAAUCCACUCAUAUCUGAGUAUGACAUUUUGCUUCACUUAUGUGUUUGCCUCAUCCUAGGAAGUGCCAGUUAGAUUUCACCAGUGCUGGAGACACAGCUGGACAUUUAAGGACAAGUUUCCAGAUUGUCCCAACAUCUAUUAUCAGGGCAAACAGAGAUGGAAAACCUUACAAAGAGAUUUUGAUACUGCGGGCAGCAGUCACAACAAACUGGCAAGCAAAUGGCAAUGCAUUGCUCUAUCCAGCAUGAAACAAAGACCGUGGAGAUGAAGUAAAACUGCCCACAAUUCUGUCCUUGCUCACAGAACAGCUCUCCAGGACCCAGCCCAUGAUGAGGACAGGUUUUUGUUUGUUUCUCUCAGUGAACCAAGGUGCAAGACCUGUCCUCUCAUGGCUGCAGAUUCUGUAUGGUCACUUCCACUUCAGCUUGGUGUUUAUGCUCACAGAAAUUCUCUGGAAAUGAGAACAGUUUUUCAGAGGUUCUUUGUUGCCUGUUUCUAUAUCAAGCUUGAGUGUCAGUUUCUGAUUUUAUGCCUCACUGUUAUUUAGGUUGCUGCUACACUGAUUGUUUCCUCUAGCAGUUCAAGAUGUAGGCUGUAAAGGAGCCCUCUCCAAUCACGUGUUCCAGAAAACCCCUAAAUCUACCAGGCUACCACAAAAGGGAGGUACCUGUUACUGUGGGGGAAGGACAUGCCAGUUGUGGGGAUUUUUGGUGUUGCUUUGUGCUUUUUUAUUUGUUUUAUUUUUGUUAGUGGGUUUUUCUGUUUGGUUUUGGUUUCAUGGGGUUUGUUUGGCUUUGGUUUUCUUUUUCUUCCACACGGUCCCACUUUCUCCCCCCUUCCCCUUGGCAUGAUUUUAUAUCUCUGGGGUUUGGAGAGAGUCAUCUCCUCAUUGCCUGUGAUCUUGUGGCCUUGUACAAAAUACCAGAUGAGGUGCAGAGCAGAGAAAUUGCUUUCUCAUCUCCCAGUUGCCAAAUCCGGUCAGGAUUUCAUGGAGGCACUCAGCAGAUCUACAUAAACCCAUACCCUGUGUGCAACCUUGCCACCCAAGGUGGGAAUACUGCUAAGAGAAACUCGAGUCCUCGGUGCCUGCAUUUCCCUGCCCUACCAGCACAGGCUCUUAGCAGGUGGCUGUGUCCAGGGAGAGAAAGAGGCAGCUUUGCAGGCUGGCACCAGGUGGUGUCACCUCACCAGAGGAAACACCCUGGGAAUGGAACGCGAGGCACUGCAUCAAACUGGGAGAAACAGCUGUCUGCCAAGCUCCACAGUACUCCUACAUCCAGGCUCCAGUUUCUCUCCCAGGAGAGCUGCUGCCAUGAACCUGUGCCCACCCUUGACCAUAGGAAGCCAGUUACAGAGCUAAUACCACACCAGGUAAGGACAGGGAUCAGGACUGCUGGGACUCCCAUGUGGACAUCAAACCAAAGCACAUAGAAACAAGGGAGGAGAAGGUUGUCUAGCCAUUUUCUCAAUGAAAGACUGCUUAGGUAACUUCCAUCAUCUUCUCAGCUCCACCCAGGCAGCACAGUUUCUCCUGGUUCUGGUGGUUUUCUAGCAAAGCUGGGUUACUUAGUCUGGCACUGCACACAGCCUGCUGUGCCAGGCACACCCUGAUGUGUCCCCAGAGUGCUGCUGGCAGCUCCUCUUGAACAAAAAGAACAGCAAGGCACCAGCCCUGAGUCUCAUUUCGGACACAUGGAGUCCUUAAAAGGGCCAGCUGGCACACAGCUGGGAAGCCCCUCACAGCAUUCCAGAAAAUAUUCCCAGCACAGGAGCUGGGAAAGACUUGCUGGGGCAGGUAGUCAUUUGGGCCAGAAAUUGCUGUCACAGGAUGACAUGUUCAUGGCCAUACUUGGCUGUGCAGGGCUUAAUCCACACCCUCCUGUUUUAGCAUGUGCCUUGCUCUGUGGGGUGGCCUUUCAAUUAAAUCAUGGCAUCCUUCCAGAGGCUUUUUAUUAAAAGCCAUCUCCACUAAGUUCCCUACAGACCAGGUCUGUAAAACAAUUACCUUCCCUUGUACCAAGGGCUCCUGUAUUUAACUCUGCACAAGAUUUAAUAAAACAAAAUAAGCCUCUUGAAAAAUAGGUGACUGGUCUGGCUUGCACCUUGACAAAAAUCCUUCCACACAGGGAACAGAUUAAAAGUAACCACUGUGUGGAAAUUGGCUGAAAUCUACAGACAACAGGUGGGGAGAUAGAUUAACACACUGCCUGCAUUUCCCAGGGGUUUUACUGAAGCCCUUAUGUUGUUACCCAGUGCCAAGGAUGGGUGUCAGGUGAGCACUCAGCACGCCUGUCCAAGCAGCAGUGGGAGCAGGGGAGCUGGGAUGUCCAGCUAGCCACCUGCUGGCCUGGCUGCGCAGAGAGCAGGCCCGGGGCACAGCAGGCCUCAUGAAGGCAGCUGCAGCACCGAAACAGAAACAGGUCACACCUCAGCAGUAAGACAAGCCACAAGCACAGUCAGGACAGCACGACACAGACAAUAAAACUAAACAAGCAGCACAGCACUUGGAGAAGAAGCCAAUGCCUGAGCCUAAGCAGGGCUGCUGGGCCAAUGGGCACCUAAGGGCACCUGGUGCCCUCAGUGCUCUGAGAGCUCUCCUUGUCGGUGUCCUCGUGCCAAUUCUUGUUUUACUUAUGAAUGGAAAUAUGGAGAUGUGAACUUGAAUCAAACCACCUGACCCGGAUGAGCACUUCCUGUAUCCUAACAGCAUGCUGCAAACCUCUGACGUGCCAUUCUCUAUGUUUCCUGUGCAAAGGCAGCCCCAAAACACAGCAGAUAUACUGCCCUAGCCCUGUAAUAUAGCCAUGCUUCAGGAAACAAACAGGGGUACCACCUGAGCUGCAGUCCAGAAGAAUGGAGUAAGAUUUGCCUCUAUGAUGUUUGUGAUGUUCUUUAAUGCCUGUCAAGUUUCCACUGUGUGGAGGCAGCCCUUGAUUUUUCAGUAAAAGAGAUGAAAAUGUCUUCAUGUAUCUUUAGAUCAUCAUUAAGCUGCUACAUUUAGCAAGAGAUUUUCCCAAAGUACCUCAGAGGAUUGGGAGAUUCAGUUUCUCUUGGUUUAACUGAAUACUCAAAUCCCCAGCCACCUUUGAAAAUUGUGUCUGAUCAUGCUUAGGUGACUCAGCCAAAGAAAUGGUAACACUUUCUGAAUUUAGGAAAAUAAAUUACUCUAUUCAAACCUCACUGGCAAUCCCCUGGGAUGGGAAAGGAAGCACAACCUCGUCUAAGUAUAAAAAGAGAAAAGGUCUAUGUAAAGAAUACCAAAAAGCUACAAAUGGCAGAGCACAGCAACACUAUAUUUCUCUUUAAAGUCCAAAAGUGUAAUGCAUUUCCAUAAAACUCAGACUUCAUUCAUGAACCUCCUCUUCAGAUUCCAUCUCAAAAACAGAGCAAAACCAUUUGUGGAGCUUCUCUUGUAUUUUCUUGCUUUAGACAUGCAGUGGGUGUUCUCGCUCUUUCAUCAGGGAAAGGAAGGUUUGUCUAAUAUCCCAAAUAAGAAAGCGAUCACAACAUCAACAAUUAAAAAUAAAACAGACACACGGUGUUCUGUUCCAAGAUUUACAGAAUGAAAAAGAAUAAAAAGAAUGUCUCCUUUCCUUUUCUGUCUUAAAAGCAAAAUGAAAGUGGCAGGGGUGAGAUUCCCCAGUGAAUGAGACAAAGCACCAGAAAGUUUUCAGCUGAAAGACAAAUUAGUGGAGAUUGGAACCACUUGACUUCUUGGGCUCAGAGAUCUCUGCCCUCAGAAGCAGCCAGCACAGCGUGGAUGGGUGUCCUUCUAGCUCCUGCAUUUAUCUGACUAGAACAUGUCAUGACCUCAAGCUUACCACAUUCUCACUUAGUAGGAGGGAGCACAAAUACCUCCCUGAGCAGGGGAACACCUUCCAGGGGGCUCCAGGAACUGCCUGCAGGUGAGUGGGGUUCUGUGCACCAUGCUGGCUGGGGGCGCCUCUCCUUUGGGCUCAGCAGCUUAGUGUGUCAACAGGCAGCAAGCCAUAACCAAGGUCUAACUUUUGCUGGGGAAAGACAUCUCUCUUAAACACCAACUGGGCACACUCAGGUUUUUCUGUUCUUUUGUGAAAGUUAGUGUGUACACACUUCCUCUAGGUCUUGUUGGCACACGGGCGCUGGACUGAAGCUGAGAGCUAUCUGAAGUGCCCAAAAUGCCUGUGCUGUCCUCUCUGGUCUCACUGGCUCCCCAGAAUCCCCUUCAGAUCUUUAGGACAUCUUAUGUCAUUUAGCACCAAACUGAUUCUGCCACCCCUUCUCUGUGAAGACUUGAGAUGACAGUCCCUGAGACACCUGUUUCUUCUGCUGUGCUAGAGCCUCAAUGUCCUUCUAAAGUAGUAAAAUGGAUCCGUGAAUUAUGGAAGAGGGAAGGGGAGGAGGUUAAGACAUCCAAGCGGCUCUAACCAGCUGGAACUAGAUCUUUCCUAGCUGGACAGUUAGAAUUUGUCAAACAGAAACAAUGCUCAACUGUUCGCCCUGUGAGUAAACAGGAGCAGAACAAAGCCUCAGCUGUAUGUGUGUGUGCUUGGGAACCUCCUUGCACUUACUUUGCUGGCUGUCCACGUGCUGGUCAGUGUGUGGCUUGUAUCUUUAAUCAAAGACAAAAGGAGAGGGAUGGGCAGGCAGUGACAGGCAAACAUAACCCUUGCACACACUGGGGGACCUGCAGUUUAUCUGUGCCAGUCCUAUGGUCUGUCUCUGGUGUAUCUGAAAGAUUUUGGUAUGCAUUUCCACACAUUCUUAAAAGCAGUGCUGGGAAAUAAGUUCACAUGAACCAGGACAAGCUACAAUUACCUCACAGAGCUCUAUAAACAAAUCAGCUGUAAGUGAGGCUCAUAAGCACAGCUAAUUUGGUUUCCUUACAUGGUCAUUAGGACUGCAUGGUGAGAGAGGGUGAAAUGAGCAGCUUUAUGUGUACCUUUAUGUGCACCUCAGCACUGGUCAUCUGCACCGUGUCACCUGGCACCCUGGCGAGUCACCAUGCUGCCCAAAUAGUCCGAAAUUCCCCUUCCAGUUUGUACAAGGGAACAUCUCAACUAUUUCUCUUCAGCUAGUAAGGCAUGGAGCUGGGAUUGCCGAUAGACAAUCCACUCCUGUGCUCUUGGAUCACAAGACAGCUCCUCUGUUCAGAUUGUGAAAGCUGGAAACAGAGAGGUUGAUGUUUUAUUUUCCAAUGUCCUUUUCAACUGUGGAGUCUCAGAAGAGUAACAAGAUGUAGCUCAUUUGUCACUGCUCCUAGUGAUGGGAAGGAAGAAUGAGGGGAAUGUGUCCCAUGGUGCCAGAGUGAAUUGGAAACAGAACAGUGAAGUUCUGGUGAAAUGAAAUAAAUUAGUCUAAUUAGUCUGCCCACUUAAGUAAUAUUAUUUUCUUUGUGUCAGUUUGUCUGUGUUAAAUGAUAUGGAGGAGAAGAGCUGAUGUGUGUCUGCUUAAGAGCAUUUGUAAAUCUCUGACAUCAGGGAGGGAAAAGAGGUGGGACGGUGAAGUAUUGGACAGAGGAAAGGAAUGCUGGAAUUAGAAAAAGAGGUAUUGGAGUGAUAGAGAUUGGACACUCAGUUUAAUUUGCUUGCAGACAGGGAAGGAUUUCUCAUCCAGGUAGAGACAGGAUGACGCUUUGGUCUGGAUGCAGCACUGUGAAUAACAGGCAAAGGAAUUGCCCUCCCCACAGGCCCAGGGACAGGCUGUGUCAUCAAGUCCCUGCAAAGAGCACGCUGAAAUCCCCGCUCAUUUCCUGUCUGCUUUCCAAGGUCCUCGAGGAAGUUGAAGUACUGUGUUCUCUAGUUACAGCCUGGCCACGCCGCUGUGUUGGAGCCUUUCAGCGCCGAGGUCUCUGUCACAACAGCAGUCUCCUCCUCAGCUGCCACCUUUCAGUUUGUUCUGACCACAGAAGAUGAUGCCAAAUGGCUGUAUAAACUGACCCUUGGCUCAGAGUACUUGGCAAACCAACGCUGGAACUGAUUAACCUUUAACUUCACUUAUCUGCUUAGCAGCCCAGGUCUCCACAGCAGACUUGGGAAGGUGAUGCUGUAUGGGCCCGUACUGAGUCUAUACUCAAAAAGUUUCCUUAGGGGUACGAGGGAAGUGCCUCAGGAAGGCUGAAGAACGAAUGGCUUCUUUCCUGAUGUGCAUGGGACUAACCCUGCCAAUAUCCAGAGAAGUUUCUGAGGCCCUAUAUGAUCAAGAAAAGUCUGGGAACAUUUAAAUAGCCAAGGGCAUGCUUUAAUGGACCACAGAAAGUUCCCACCCAAGUGAGACUAAAUGGAACUUGUGUACCCUAACCAGGCACACAAACUUAAUACCUUGGACCUCAGGAGACGCAACCAAGGUGCUCAUGCAGCAAAGGAGUGUUCUGCCCAGUGUACAUCACUAAUCCCCCUUUAGAUCAGCCUACCCUUCAAGGCACUCCCUUUUCCAGCCCGCGUGCCACAAGCCUGGAGUUGUGCAGAAUGGGGAUUUUGCUCAGUUAAUCACCGCAGAAAAACCAAAAAGCUUUUGAAAACUUUCAAAUUAAAAUAAGUAAUUGUGUCAGAACUGAGAAACCGAGCACUGCCAGGCUCUGUUAGUGCAGAGAGCAAGAGCAGGACAGGGGAGGAGGGGGACACGGAGAGACAGCACAAUGGCAGCCAGUGGCGAGUCCUCCUGUGGAGCAAGACCGUCUCCUGGCAACGUGUGGCAAUUGGUGGACGGAGCAAAAGGAGCCUGAAUGAGGCGCCAGGGUCCAUUUCAAGUGUUUUGGAGAAAUUUGCUAUUCACUUAUUGCAGACCUGCCUAGCUUAUUAAUAAUGCCCUCUUCUGCUGUAACCCCGGCUGCUACAGAAGCGCUGACAAGAUGGGUAUGCAGGGCACAGAUCUGCCCGUGGAAGAGCUGGGCACUGCUUUUUGCUUGGCCCUCUCUCGACCCAUUCCUUGGCGUUUUGUUGCCAAGCAUUUGGUUGCCAUGCCAACUUUUUAGCAUUAAAUCAUAAUCUAAGCACAGCAGGAGGCCAAAAGCCUUCUCAGGUCUAGCUCCUGUCCUCUCCCCUAUGACUGUACAACUGGUUGUGUAAGCAGGAUUAGCUGGAUGCUUUGAUGGCUUGUCAGCAACAGCCUGGAUGAAAACUUACCAACAGGGGAACGACAGUUCCCUUUGGAAACGGGUACAGAGGAGAAUAGGACUUAUGGCUGGGAGAUUUCUGCCUUCCCAGCUCUGCCACCUGUCUGAAACCAAGCCCUGUGUGUCACUCAGCUUGCACUGCUCCACUGGGACAAGGUGUUGGUGAGCUGAAAUAGGCUUUGUGCUUCAGGAUUGCUUUGCACUGCCUCGUUCCCCUCACAGUAGGACUGUUUCUGGGCUAUUAAAGACAUACUUCAGACUGUCAGAACUGAGGUAUUAAAACUAGAAAUAUGCUGUUGAUAAUAACGUGCAUUAGCUCCUUAAAAUGGUGAAAUACGUUGAGUGCACAGAUGAUGUGUAUUAUCCUCCCAUAAUAGGUCAAAAACAAGGUAUAUACAAAUGCUGAAAUGGCUCAAAAUAAAGAAUAUGAGAAGUAAGGCUGUGUUUUGCAGAGAAGAGACAAGGCCUGAGCUCUCCCUCCCAACUGCUUAAACUGUUUUGCAGCAGAAAGAUUUUUGUUUGUCCCUUCAGUGAAGCUGAAUACCCGCAGCUUGCAAAUUUUCAUUGCAUGAAAACACAGGUCAGAAAAAUGGAAACAGAGGUUUAGAUCAGCUUUGUCAGGAGAAGUAAUUUGACUGAUCCUGCCUAAGCCUUAGGAUUCUCAUCUGGGGUGUCAAGCAUCACUGGGGAACACUGCAUACCAAGUCUAUAUUCUUUAAAUACUUCAAAUCUGACCCUUAAUAUUGGUGGAGGUUUUUCCUAAUGUCAAAAACAAAUGGAAAACUUCUCUUUGUCUCUUCUCUGGCACUUCAUACACUGGUGUGAAGAGCAUCCCAACAACACAUUAGGUUUUAAAUCUUGCUGUAGAGAUUCCUGUUACUCAAAUAUGGCUUGGGCUGUUCUUUACUUGCAGCAUGGGGUGAAAGAGCAGCUCUGCUUGCUGUUUCCCUGUAUGCUCCCAUGCAGUUCAACAAAAAUCAGCAUGAACUCCAGUUGACUCCUUCCUCUGGAGCUUCCCAUGGUUUUGAUAGUGGAUACUUAGGGAGGGGUGCAUGGAAAUGUGCAACAAAACACACAGUUUGUUUCCAGCCCCAGAGAGUAAAGCCCACGCUUGACCAUAAACCUCCCCAGAACUAGAGCUGUGGCUUGGAAAUUGCCUUAGGAUCUUCUGAAGUACCGAGAGCCCAAAAUCCAAUUAAAACAGGUAUUUCUACAGCAACACACGUUACUUUGAGUCUCCUAAGAAAGGAAUGAUUUGUUAUGCCUCUCUUUUCUCUUAUAUGUGACACUCUUGGAACUUUCUAGCUGUAAGGCUUACAAGAAUCUUGAUGGUUGUCACAUACCUCAGGUAAUUCAGGAGGGAGACUCCUAGAUGAUUUCCAUGUCCAAGGUAAAAGGUAUCUGCCUCCCAGGGAAUGGGCCUUUAGUUGGAAGGCAGUCAGCUAUGUUACCUGGAGUGACUGAUACUGCUUUCUCUCUCUGGCAGUAGACGGUCUCACACAGCUUUCACUUCAGUUUCUGGAGGAUUUUGUGCUUUCCAGAGGAAAAACUGCCCUUUGUUAGGUCAGCUAAAGACUGUAAACUAGAGGUUCCACAGGUUGGUAUUAUUGACUCUACACACCACAAAUCUCAUCCUGUUUGAUCUGUUCCUUGUUUGAAAUAGCUGCUCUGGGAAUCUUACAAUUAAGGGAGAGUUUUCUGGGGAAUUUUAAAUAUUCUCUUACAUGACAGCAAAGAGAAGCUGAAGAAGUGAAUCCUAGAAGUGCAAAAUUUGUUAAGCUAAGACAUUUCUGCUUAAAAAAUAGAAAAAACACUGUGUUUUGGGAUCGAGCUGGGACUCACUGUCUUAAUCACAACUGAAUACAGAGUGUGCUCAUUUUAAGUACAUUUGAGCCAUUGAUGUGAGGUUGUGGGCAUCUUGGAAUGGGAGGAGUAGGCUGAUGGUGUAAUGCUGACUGAAUUCUCCCAUAUGACCUGCCAUUUGCCCUCAGAUCAGCAAGGAUGUAGGAAUCAGCACUUGAGAGCAGAGAGAGGGCAAACUCUGCCUUUAGGACAAUUAAGUUCAGCUAGGCAGUAUAAUCAAGGCUUUGGAUGUAGUGUAAGGGAUGUUGUGUUUUUGUUUUGUUUUUUUUUAAAUAAGAGGUUGCUCCUAAAGUAGUUACAUAACACUUGAUAAAGAAGUCACCAGAGUAUUGUACAUUUACCCAUCUGCUGGUUGUAACAUUUCUGUUCUGCUAGUCCUGAAUGCAGAAAAUGUUGUCCAUCCCUUGGGAACACUUGAGCAUCCCAAAUUACUUGGCUGAGGCUGGGCUCAGAGCUGAGUUACUGCUCUGUGACCGUGCCCUGUGCUGUCCCACAGCUGAUUCCAGAUGUCCCUUGAAGAGAAGGAUUUCAAUGCCAUUUCCAAGCUGAUGGGCAGCUGGGGUGGUCAAAACAAGCCUUAGACCCUAUCAUGUUCCUUAUCCACAGUGGUAGCUUCAUACUGUGCUUUAUUGAAUAGUUCCUCACAAAGCUUAUUUUAGUCAGGCAGUUGUUAGAAGAUUUGAAAUGCAGUCCUAGAACUAGAAGAGAAUGUUUUUUAAGAAAGUGGGAGGACACACCCAUGUGGAACUGCUCUCUAUGUAUCCCUCAAGCAAACCUCAGCAGCUGACAAGCACAAAGUUUUCUUUCAUUUUCUUUUAACUGUCAGGUCUGAAAUGUGGAAACUGGCAUUUCAGCUAGCUUUGCUCACACGCAUCCUGAAAACAAAAAAAAAUCUUUCUGAAUUAAUUAGCAUCUCUCACAGCUGAGAUGACAGUGGAAUAAAAUUCUGUAUGCUGUUGAGUAACAGCACCACAACCCAUUCUUUGACAAUGGGAGAUGUAAAGUCUCACUCCUAUUACUGUGUUUCUUGUUUGGCUCCACGAGUAGGGAAGCAGGAGACUCCUUUUGAUUAGUCAGUGGCUCUGAACACCCACAGCAAAGAAAAAAAAACAAACAUAACUUCAUACACAGACUCUGCAGGAUGAAACUUCCACUCAAAAUUGCACAGAGAACUUAGGCAAUCAUUUGUUUGGAAGCAGGUGUUAGUUAGACUAAAGCUAAAGUUCACGGCCUGAAUAGCUCUUUAAGAAGUUAUGCACAUUACAACAUGAUAUGAACAGCUGACGUGUUUCUGACCAUGGCUGAACUCUUUUGCCUCCCACAUGUCAUAGUUCAAGGAGUUAUUUCUGAUAAAAUAGUUGCUCUAACUUAAAACUGGUUUCCAAAA